This 460-nucleotide ribosomal RNA is filed under the name uncultured bacterium. Its description in RNAcentral is "partial 16S ribosomal RNA". It matches the Rfam family "Bacterial small subunit ribosomal RNA", at positions 338 to 795 of the family's 1533-position model. The record is from RNAcentral.
CCUACGGGAGGCAGCAGUGAGGAAUAUUGGUCAAUGGACGAGAGUCUGAACCAGCCAAGUAGCGUGAAGGAUGACUGCCCUAUGGGUUGUAACCUUCUUUUAUAUGGGAAUAAAAUGUUCCAUGUGUGGGAUUUUGUAUGUACCUUAUGAAUUAGGAUCGGCUAACUCCGUGCCAGCAGCCGCGGUAAUACGUAGGCUCCGAGCGUUAUCCGGAUUUAUUGGGUUUAAAGGGAGCGUAGAUGGAUUGUUAAGUCAGUUGUGAAAGUUUGCGGAUCAACCGUAAAAUUGCAGUUGAAACUGGCAGUCUUGAGUACAGGAGAGGUGGACGGAAUUCGUGGUGUAGCGGUGAAAUGCGUAGAUAUCACGAAGAACGCCGAUUGCGAAGGCAGUUCACUGGACUGCAACUGACACUGAGGCUCGAAAGUGUGGGUAUCAAACAGGAUUAGAUACCCGUGUAGUC